GUAAGAAAGGAUAAGGAAGAGGAAAGGUAAGGAAUGUUACAAUAAAAAUAAUUUCAUAUUUGGGAAGGGGUGAGUUAAUGGAAAAGUAAAGAUAGGUAAUUUUUAUUUUUCAUGUUUGAAAAGAGAUGAAUGAAGGGUAAAGGGCGUAUAAAUAAAAAUAAUUAUAGUUCUCACCUCCCAUCCUUACCCUUCCUUACACCUCAGUUUGAGGGGUAAAGAAGGCUAAGACUUAUCCUCACUUGCUCUUAUGCUCCAUUAAAUCACCCAUUCCCAAAAGGGGAGACAAAACUCGCUUACCCCUCCUUACUUUUAUUUACCCCUCCUUCACCGUAAUCCAAACAUAUCCCAAACCAUGCCAAUCUACAUACAACCUCGCGUUUGUUUUACUUGACAUCAUU
RNAcentral lists this unclassified non-coding RNA (398 nucleotides) under Hevea brasiliensis (rubber tree). Lineage: Eukaryota; Viridiplantae; Streptophyta; Magnoliopsida; Malpighiales; Euphorbiaceae. The record is from RNAcentral.